AUUGGAGCGGGCAACUCUCACAUCAGGAAAGAAGACACCUUACCUGACUCAUCGACAGAUUGGACACCUACAAACCGUCAAACGAUAAUAAAAACAGAUAUCAGGGUGUUAUGUUUCACAGUCAUUUGCAAACAGGACAAGGACAACCUUAAGGAAAGCUGAGGAAAGCUGUUCUCAGAGACAAGACUAUACCUCCCUAGACUAGUGUUGUUUGUACUAAACCCAGAGCAGCCCUGAACGAAUCGACAGACUGACCCAGCUCAUAUUCUAAAGCGAUUAAUCAUUUGAAAGCAUUAAUUUUUACCAGAAAACAAGACAGAAAUACUAAGGAAGAAAAUCUCUGCAUUAAUCACUUAAUCGUUUGAUUCUGAUUCAUUCAGACAUUUCUAAUAAUGUUGAUACAAAUGCUAAUACUGCACUCAUGUUUAUAAUAAAAGAUGACAUAAUCAUUCAUUAAAAAAACUUUUAAACCCAGCAAAGAAAUAA
Carassius gibelio (silver crucian carp) is the source of this 486-nucleotide long non-coding RNA. RefSeq lists it as uncharacterized. Lineage: Eukaryota; Metazoa; Chordata; Actinopteri; Cypriniformes; Cyprinidae. The transcript is spliced from 2 exons. The record is from RefSeq and is a predicted model, not a curated record.